AGUGAACGCUGGCGGUAGGCCUAACACAUGCAAGUCGAACGGCAGCACAGUAAGAGCUUGCUCUUACGGGUGGCGAGUGGCGGACGGGUGAGGAAUACAUCGGAAUCUACUUUUUCGUGGGGGAUAACGUAGGGAAACUUACGCUAAUACCGCAUACGACCUACGGGUGAAAGCAGGGGAUCUUCGGACCUUGCGCGAUUGAACGAGCAGAUGUCGGAUUAGCUAGUUGGCGGGGUAAAGGCCCACCAAGGCGACGAUCCGUAGCUGGUCUGAGAGGAUGAUCAGCCACACUGGAACUGAGACACGGUCCAGACUCCUACAGGAGGCAGCAGUGGGGAAUAUUGGACAAUGGGCGCAAGCCUGAUCCAGCCAUACCGCGUGGGUGAAGAAGGCCUUCGGGUUGUAAAGCCCUUUUGUCGGGAAAGAAAAGCAGCAGGUUAAUACCCCGCUGUUCUGACGGUACCCAAAGAAUAAGCACCGGCUAACUUCGUG
RNAcentral lists this ribosomal RNA (492 nucleotides) under uncultured bacterium. RNAcentral describes it as "partial 16S ribosomal RNA". It matches the Rfam family "Bacterial small subunit ribosomal RNA", at positions 29 to 507 of the family's 1533-position model. The record is from RNAcentral.